ACUGUUGUGCUCUGAUCGAUAACGUUGAACGCUUCUACGAUGCAUCAGGCAGCCAGGGAAGGAGUGCAGCGGAAAUAAAUGAGGCCAAUAACUGCUCGCUCUACCCCGUCUUGAAUGGCGAAAAGGAGAGCUGAUGGAUGGAUAAGCCGCCCAUCGCAUUUCCAUUCCUCUGAAAGCUCAGUGAGCGAGUAGGUGGGCUUUGGCUGCCGCUGUGGCAGCGAACGAGAGAGAGAGAGAGAGAGAGAGAGAGAGAGGGGGGGGGGAGACAUACGUGAAAGCCGGGGGAAGUACGUCUCCUUCAGCCCGGAGUUCCCAAACUGCCCCUCGAUCUCGAGUCAUGUCUUAAGAAGGUCGAGGGCUUUAUAGUCAUUUCGAGAGUUGAACUGUAACAGGGUCGGGCGUGUUGUGCUGGGUUUUGUAUGUAUAUAAAGUAGGAAGAGAAAGUGGAGGAGAGAUGAGAGCGAGUUGUUGUCUUCCUCAGACACUCUUUUCUUUCUGGGCGGAAGGAGAGGACGAGGCAAAGGCAUUAUUAUUAAAGCGCCGGCAUGAGAGGAGGGUGAAGGUGAAGGAGAAGGAAGAAAGUGGCCGGAAGAAAGCUAAGCUAAGCUAAGCAAAGCAGCAGUGCUUCGUUAGAGGAUUUGUUGGUCUGCCAACUGAGGAGGAAGGAAAGAGAUGGAAAUGGUGCAAGUGGCCGCCAGGGCAGCCAUCGUGCGGUGGACGGGUGAGGGGAGGUCUCACGACAGUGCAGAUGAAGACGAAGGUGAGGAUGCCCAAAGUGCGGGCAAUGCUCCCCUGUUUUGAGGUUCGUGAGUUCGUUCAUGGGUUCUGUGAUAUUGGCAUAAGCGGCUCAAUCACUCUUCUUUCUUCUUCUUCUUCUUUGUUUCUUUUGGCUACUCUUGCUCACAUUACCAACAUUUGGUUCUGUAAUCGCCUCUUGUUUCCGUCGCCAAAUCCUGUAACAUUGUCUUCUCCUUUGCUGCUGCUGCUGCUGCUGCUGCUGUUGCUGGUGGUGGUGGUGGUGGUGGAAAGAAGGGGAUGGGACAGUGGAUGGUUGGCCUGGGUUGUCUCGCUUGGCAGCAUCAUGGUCAUCAUGCCACCCCCUCCUUUCCCACAUCUUCUCCCCUUUUGUAUUGUGGGAUGUUUUGUUUGGUUUCUUUCUCUUUGUCCCUUGUUGAUUGGAUGCUCUGGUUGGCUAACAUUAGCAAAAAUAUUUUAGACCCACAUUGCUGCCUAUGUUAUCCAUGUGUAUCUCAAGCACACCACAAGGUGGUGAAAGGGGACACCAAUCUCUCUCUCUCUCUCUCUCUCUCUCUCUCUCUUAGGCUCAUCCUGUGUUUGCAUCUUUUGUCACCCAAACCACCCUCGUGUCAGCUGCCACAUUUGUAGUAGGGGGCUACUGGACAAACUUCUCUUCUCUGCUUCUGCUCUCUCUUUCUUGUGAGCUGUGGGCUUUAGCCCUUGGGGAUAGAGCAGAAAGCAGCAGUCCUCUGGGAACUGCCUUCUCUGUGUUGAUCAAUCUCUCUAGCCAUUUGCUCUACUACUGCAAAUGGUCUGAGAAGAAUGGCAUGGUUUAGUCUGCAAUGCAAUUAAUUGGGUGUUUCCUCUUACCCUUUGAAUGCAUGAGGUGUGUGCAGUAAGUACAGACUUUAAGACACUGGUCACCAUGGCAGUAGUGACAGCAGCUGCUAUUGUAAUGUCUGCCCACUGUUUGCUAGAAAAAAGUUGCAAGAGCUAUGUGGAUGGAAAUCAGUGCAGUCUGA
Molecule: long non-coding RNA, 1760 nt
Organism: Musa acuminata subsp. malaccensis (wild Malaysian banana)
Lineage: Eukaryota; Viridiplantae; Streptophyta; Magnoliopsida; Zingiberales; Musaceae
Source: RefSeq, a predicted model, not a curated record